GGAUGACACCGUUGUCACUUACAGAUAUGUCAGACCGGCCUAAGUGGACACUGAUAAUGUCUGAAAAGAUGAAUGCAUGAAUAUCUGUACCAUGAAAAGCACUGAAGUAGCCUUCCUCCUCAUCUUCCUCAGCCUGCUUCCGGGCCAGCAUGGCCUGGAUCAGGGCGCUGGUGAUGGGUGGACCAGUGGGACCAGAGCCCUCUUCAGGAUGAGGUAUGCCAGAUCUAACCUCACACCCAGAGCUGCAUACCUCCACACAGUGUAGGCCACCAUGGACACUGCCCCCACGAAGGAGGGGAUGAAGAGUAGGGCAAUGAAGAUGGUCUGCAUCUGCGCGGCCCUGCCGUAACGGCGGGGGGGCUGGCAGUUCUGAUACAGGCUCACCUGAGCGGAGGAAAGAAGACCGCUGAAGCCGAGCAUGUCGCUGGCACACGCAGCACACAGCGCGCACGUGACUGCGUUUUUUAUUUCUCAGGUGCACGUACUUAACCUUAUAAAGGUACUGUUACAAAAUGGCACUGAGUAGCACUACCUCAGUGGCAUUAUUGUUCCUGAGUACAUUGUUUUUAAAUGAGUUUUUAGAGAAGUAACAUGAGCACGGCACGCAGCUCUCCAGCCAUUGUCUUUGUAUCAGCGGAGGGUUCGCGUUACUGUCACAUGAGUUAAAGUUCCACUCACGGCCUACCUUCUUCAGAUAAAACAUGAUGAACAGCUUGAUCAUCUGUAAGACUGGUAGCAGUGGAGAGAAGUAAAUCCCAAUCCUGCAGAAAGGGAAAUGACAGAGAAAUUGGCGGAGGAUGUUAGGCUAAUGCUAAGAUUGGAAAUGUGAUAAAAUAGCUUUACAGUGAGCACAGAAAGGGAAGAAAAGGCGCACCAUGCCAGUGUCUGGGCAUAGAUCAGGUCGAGGACGUUCCUAGCGAUGUCAAAUUCUGGAACCCCCAGACUUGGCAGACACUUGGUCCCAAUGAUGCUGAGUCAAGAAAAAAAAUUUAGAAACAUUUAUUAGUGUGUUGAAUUAGCAGUUUGAAUUUCUGUAAUAAAAUAUGAAAACGUU
Anguilla rostrata (American eel) is the source of this 1054-nucleotide long non-coding RNA. RefSeq lists it as uncharacterized. NCBI's taxonomy places the organism in Eukaryota, Metazoa, Chordata, Actinopteri, Anguilliformes, Anguillidae. The record is from RefSeq and is a predicted model, not a curated record. The transcript is spliced from 3 exons.